UUUCCGUAGGUGAACCUGCGGAAGGAUCAUUAAUGAGUUGUCAUGGGGUUCGAUGCUGGCAGCCAGUUUUUGGAUGCAUGUGCUUGCCCUAACAAUCAUCUUCUUCCAAACACCUGUGCACAUUUUUGAGGGAGUCUUGAGUUGGUUGCCGCUCUUGGGUGAUUUUCUCACAUUCCCUUAAAUCAUUAUACGCUAUUAACAAUGUUGAACGUGCUCUGUGCCGCAAGGUCAUUAAUAUAAUACAACUUUUAACAACGGAUCUCUUGGCUCUC
Molecule: unclassified non-coding RNA, 272 nt
Filed under: plant metagenome
Description: partial contains small subunit ribosomal RNA, internal transcribed spacer 1, and 5.8S ribosomal RNA
Source: RNAcentral